AUAUCAAUAAGCGGAGGAAAAGAAACUAACAAGGAUUCCCCUAGUAACUGCGAGUGAAGCGGGAAGAGCUCAAAUUUAAAAUCUGGCGGUCUCAGGCUGUCCGAGUUGUAAUCUAGAGAGGUGUUUUCCGCGCAGCACCGUGUAAAAGUUCCUUGGCACAGGGCGUCAUAGAGGGUGAGAAUCCCGUGCAUGACACGGGCUGAGAGUGCUCGUGUGAUACACCUUCAAAGAGUCGAGUUGUUUGGGAAUCUCAGCUCAAAAUGGGUGGUGAGUUCCAUCUACAGCUAAAUACAGGCGAGAGAUCUAUAGCGAACAAGUACCGUGAGGGAAAGAUGAAAAGAACUUUGGAAAGAGAGUUAAACAGUACGUGAAAUUGUUGAAAGGGAAACGCUCGAAGUCAGUCGCGUCUGAUGGGACUCAACCUAGCUUUUGCCUGGUGUACUUCACAGUAGAUGGGCCAGCAUCACUUUCCGGUCCCGGAAAAGGAUUUGAGGAAUGUGACAGCUGGCUGUGUUAUAGCCUCUUGUCGUACCCGGUGCUUGGGAUUGAGGCCUGCAGCACGCCUUUUGGUCGGGGUUCUCCUACGCCACGUGCUUAGGAUGCUGGCGUAAUGGCUUUAAGCGA
RNAcentral lists this ribosomal RNA (624 nucleotides) under uncultured fungus. RNAcentral describes it as "eukaryotic LSU rRNA". It matches the Rfam family "Eukaryotic large subunit ribosomal RNA", at positions 40 to 647 of the family's 3401-position model. The record is from RNAcentral. Lineage: Eukaryota; Fungi.